GGGGUUCUGCCUCGCUCGUGCUGCUUUUUCCGGACCGUAAAGAAUUCCAGAGGGAUCUCGCGUUCGGGCGAUGAUAUCACGCUUUUCGAAGUAGAUAGAUUCGUUCGAUAGAGAACCCACCUAUGUAAUAGGUCCCCGGGAAUUUCAAAUAACGGCGAAGGCGGUUCCCCG
RNAcentral lists this small RNA (171 nucleotides) under Leptonema illini DSM 21528. RNAcentral's name for it is "6s_RNA". Lineage: Bacteria; Pseudomonadati; Spirochaetota; Leptospiria; Leptospirales; Leptospiraceae. The record is from RNAcentral.